GUAGUUCAUGAGUGGAUUUCUUCUCCUUACAUCCACUCUUUAUAAGAAUGUACUUUCAAAACUUCAAAUGUAAAGAAAAUAAAAGGUUAAUUAAAGGCACUAUCUGCUCUGUUUUUUGCACAUCUUUCAUGUGUUACAUUUACUUUUCUUUCAAGAAGCAUAUAUAAUAUUUACAUUUCAUUUUCCCAAAUCCUAACUACAAGAUAUAUGGUCAACAAGAUUAUUUUUACCGUCUUUGAUUCGUUAAACUUGAAGUUGGAUGAAUGAUAAAAAUUUUCUAAUGUCUCUCUUCUUUACUCAUAUUCGCUAUUUUAGCACUUGAUUAAUUUGUUUUAUUGGAUUAGGAUUGUUCUAUGGGUGGCCAAAACAGGGGAUUAUGUCAUUCUUGUAGGAUUGCGGACACAUGUUGCCGGAAUGUCCAAAAAAUAUUAAAUGCCCAAACUGUGGCGAGGGCUUCGUUAGGUGGUUGGAGGUAAAAAAGAAUUCAGACAAUAAAGGGCUGUUGUUCCAUAGUUGUACCUGCAACUGUUAGCUUUUCAAGCUUUCUAACGUUCCGCCGUAUAAAGAGUAUUCAUUGCAAGGUGAAUCAGGUGGUACUACCAACGGAAGUGAACCAGUCGACGAUUUGUCUCGUAUGUUGACGACAUGUGCAAAAAUAACCGAGGAGAGAAACUUGGAGAUUUCAUUCAACAUCACCAUACGCAAAGGGAAACGAGUUUACGGAAGAUGUACAAUGAAGUCUAUGUAAUUGAAUAGCUUCGACUUAUUGUACUUAAAAUUGCAGUGAUGGCUGUCUUUGGAGCAUAUUUUUUGUUUAGGUGUCUUGAUCUAGAGCAGUUUUCAUUGUGCAUAGUGAACUUUUACAAGUGUUCUCAAUCAAGUUUCAUGUUGCAGUAGAUUGCUUAUUUGGUUGUCUACCCAAUUAUGCUAUUUUACAAUUCAUGGCAUCAUUACAAUCUUGAUCUCAUUUUACUCUGUAAACUCGAGUUUCAUUGGAAAUUCC
Molecule: long non-coding RNA, 1003 nt
Filed under: Olea europaea subsp. europaea
Lineage: Eukaryota; Viridiplantae; Streptophyta; Magnoliopsida; Lamiales; Oleaceae
Source: RNAcentral